CGGAGCUGCUGCCCAACCCCUGCCCCGAUGAACCUAUGCUCCUGGACCCCCCAGAGGCCAACGCCAGGACCCAGUGAGGCUCCUGGCUCCCAGCUGUUCCAGAGAAGGACGAACCCCAACAGUGGAUGUGUACAGAUGCAAAUAGAGGGGAAGUUGGUGAAAUGAGACAUACAAGACAGCUGUUGCUGAUGACAGGCUGUGACACCCAUAGUGGAGAGUCUGAGGUCAUUGGAAAAACUCCCUGGCUCAGGUCCAAAGACAGAGGUGGCUGAGGUCAGGUGAGCAGCAGAGACAAGGUCUGCGAGUGUGUAGGCAUCAAACCAUAGGACAACUCCAUAGUCAAGAGAUGGGACCUGCAUGCAGAGUGGUCCAAGAGCAGAGCUGAGGUAGCAGCAGAAAACUACAUUUCCAUCCAACCAAAUGGGACCAUCAGCAUGAAAUGGGCAGAAUGAACACAAAUGGGAGAGCAAUGAAUUCAUACAGUGCCCAGCUGGCAAGAGCCUUCCUCACCUUCAGAUGGCACAGCCUGGGCAGUGAGGAUGAAAGGAUCGUAGUAGCUGUACAUCGCUUUCUUCCAUACCACGGAC
Molecule: long non-coding RNA, 587 nt
Organism: Gopherus flavomarginatus (Mexican gopher tortoise)
Lineage: Eukaryota; Metazoa; Chordata; Testudines; Testudinidae
Exons: 4
Source: RefSeq, a predicted model, not a curated record